This 20-nucleotide microRNA is filed under the name Spodoptera frugiperda (fall armyworm). Its description in RNAcentral is "sfr-miR-10505-3p". The record is from miRBase by way of RNAcentral. Lineage: Eukaryota; Metazoa; Arthropoda; Insecta; Lepidoptera; Noctuidae.
UAGGGUUAGAAACUUGGCUC